Molecule: long non-coding RNA, 1188 nt
Organism: Rosa rugosa (rugosa rose)
Lineage: Eukaryota; Viridiplantae; Streptophyta; Magnoliopsida; Rosales; Rosaceae
Exons: 5
Source: RefSeq, a predicted model, not a curated record
AAGAGAGGAAAAAAGAAAAAACAGGGACACACAGAACAUUCCUUCUAUAAAUUGCCCACAGGUUUUUUUCAAAACCGCUUUUUCUCGAACCUUCCCAUCGUGUUUAAAUAGAGCCACGGAGAACAAGUUUUACAAAACAAACCAAGAAGAUUGAUGGUUACCGGUGAGAGAGUGAAUACCUGGUUACCAACAGAAUCCCAGGGUGAAGAGGACGACGAAGACCAAGAUCUGGGAGGAGGCUAGGGCUUUCAAGCAAUCUUCAUCGAAUCCAUGAUGUACCAGAAGAGGAAACCAAGAGCAUGACAAGCUCAAAGAGAGUCCUGGUGGGUGAUGGGAAGCACCAGUAGUAGUAGGAGGAGGAGAUAUAAUCUGCACUCCUCACUGGUCAGAGGAACAGCCAACAAUAAACGGCGAGCCUCCUCAGCCACUUUGAUCUUCAGCUCUUCCAGAGUUCCAGUGAGUUCAACUACUGCAGCUGUAGCAUGUUGAGAUCUUCAGUAGGUAGUACCUGUCUGAUAUGUAAUGCCAAGUAUAUCUGGAAGAGGUCUUGAGUGGUGGGAGGGGAAGCUGAAUCCCAGAUGGCCAGAUAAGAAUGCAGUUGAGAGCAUAAACUCGAGCCGGUUGUUCGACCAAACUAGCCAACCGUGAGAGGAUCCAACUUGCAUCUCUUGACUCCUCGGGCAUGUUGAUGUUCGAGCUACAACCUUCAAGACUGUAAAACCUAGACCCAUCAAUUGCCUCCUCGUUGUUCAGAUCUCGGGGAAGAACGAGCCACAUUGUUUCGGGUAGCGAAGUGAAAGAUGGUGACUUGGUAAUUUCAUCAACUGCAGCAGACCAAGAGGGAUUAACUGCUUUAAAUAGCAUGAUGCUUUUGAGGGUGGAUGUUGAUAGGAUUAGUUGACAGAGUUCCUUUGGUACGUAAUUCGGACCAUCUUGACAUGGGAAAAUUGUGUCAUUAAUUCCAGUUUUUGUCAUUUGUAAUCUUCAAGAAGAUAAUUAACCUGGAGUCUGGUUUCAUUUGUCAUCUUCAGUAGUUCCAGCUUUUGGAGGCCUUUGGUCUUUUUUGCUGCCAUGAUUUGCAACUCAAAACUAGUUACAGAAACUUGUUUGUUUAUUUAUUUGUAUUUAUGUCUUUUUUCAUAUCUCCACUCCUAUGUACUUGACAAAUUUUACGAUGGCAAUAAAAAU